UCCUGGAAACGGGUGGUAAUGCCGGAUGUUCCACAUGAGCGCAUGCGAGUGUGGGAAAGGCUUUUGCGGCAUGGGAUGGGGUCGCGUCCUAUCAGCUUGUUGGUGGGGUAACGGCCUACCAAGGCGUUGACGGGUAGCCGGCCUGAGAGGGCGACCGGCCACAUUGGGACUGAGAUACGGCCCAGACUCCUACGGGAGGCAGCAGUGGGGAAUAUUGCACAAUGGGCGCAAGCCUGAUGCAGCGACGCCGCGUGCGGGAUGGAGGCCUUCGGGUUGUAAACCGCUUUUGUUCAAGGGCAAGGCACGGUUUCGGCCGUGUUGAGUGGAUUGUUCGAAUAAGCACCGGCUAACUACGUGCCAGCAGCCGCGGUAAUACGUAGGGUGCAAGCGUUAUCCGGAUUUAUCGGGCGUAAAGGGCUCGUAGGCGGUUCGUCGGGUCCGGUGUGAAAGUCCAUCGCUUAACGGCGGAUCCGCG
This 475-nucleotide ribosomal RNA is filed under the name uncultured Bifidobacterium sp. RNAcentral's name for it is "bacterial SSU rRNA". It matches the Rfam family "Bacterial small subunit ribosomal RNA", at positions 148 to 625 of the family's 1533-position model. Lineage: Bacteria; Bacillati; Actinomycetota; Actinomycetes; Bifidobacteriales; Bifidobacteriaceae. The record is from RNAcentral.